GUUUCAUUCAAGAGGAGAAAAGAUUAUUGCAACUGUGGCAUUCUGCUUCAGACAAUCAAAUCAAUGAAAUAACUCUUAAAACAGAUCUUUUUAGGAGUAUAUACUACGGGUGUCCCAGUGCACAAGGUUUCUCAGCUUGCAAAGGAUUACUUACAGGUAUGCAAUAUUCCCUUGCAAUGCAAGAGAUUGUUUUUGUCCUUAAGGUAAGAUUGGUAAAAGAUUCAUUCAUUCAUCCUAUCAUAUUUAAUAAUGAGAAGGAAAGAUCCCUUGCAUGUACACGGUCUUAGUCAAGGUCUUGACAUUUUUUUUUCUGCGGUAGCUUAUUAAUAAGAGGAAACAGAAAAAAGAAAAUAAUUUUUUGAAACCAACAAACAAUCAAGGAUUUAGAAUCUAAACUUUUAUCAUACAGUUCCUUCCAUACUUAAACUAUGAAAAAAGAAUACAAAUACAAAAGAUAAAUGAAUAGAUCAAUUUCUUUAAAUAAUAGGAUAAUUCAUGAAAAGGUCUAUUAUACGUCCAUAAGCAGCAGCACUCACCUUCUUGAUUCCACAAGAAGAGCA
RNAcentral lists this unclassified non-coding RNA (560 nucleotides) under Hevea brasiliensis (rubber tree). The record is from RNAcentral. Lineage: Eukaryota; Viridiplantae; Streptophyta; Magnoliopsida; Malpighiales; Euphorbiaceae.